This is a long non-coding RNA of Agrilus planipennis (emerald ash borer), 785 nucleotides long. RefSeq lists it as uncharacterized. Lineage: Eukaryota; Metazoa; Arthropoda; Insecta; Coleoptera; Buprestidae. The record is from RefSeq and is a predicted model, not a curated record. The transcript has 4 exons.
UCUGUUCUGAAUCAUACACUCAUUAUCUUCUUUAUCUCUAAAUGUUCUCGUUUUUUAACUGUCUGUCUCGCUCUAGAAUUCAUUUAGUUUCAGAGUUGUGAGCAGGCGAAGGCACUUAUAAGAAGCAAAACAUACAUACAUAUUUUUAAAUUUUACAAAAUGGGGCAGAAUCUAGCUACGCGAUUGGUUAUAUUACGAAAAAUUUGCCGCGAACCGUCGCAGAAGUCCAAUGUGAUGCUUCUGCGUAUCGUUUUAUACGUCACGCCGGCUUCACGCAAGAGCAAUUUCGUAGCAGCUUGAACAGACGGCCAUUCCAGUGCCUGAGUCAGUUAAGGUGAUAAUACAUCCAUUAUGUAUAUGCAAUGUGCUAAGGAGUAUUCGUCAUUCCUGUCGUCCCUUUUUUGCUCCAGGAUGUAAUGGUAAUGGCCUAAGGAAAGCAGGGAAAUUGCGUUCUUUCUACUGGAAAUACAGACAGAUUAUUGUUGUUGCUGAAAGAAGGAUUUAUGACAAUGAACCAGUGAGAGAAAAUGGAAGUCAAUUUUGAAAUUUGGAUGUUUCUUGGACUUGUUGCUUGAUUUGAUGAUGACGUCUUGACUAUGCAACAUUUUACUUCAAUUAAUUUUCCACCGAUGAAUAAGUACAGCUGGGAACUAGGUCCUACUGAAACAACGAUUGCAAUGGUAUCGUUCUUCAAUUUGGUUUGCCAUUUGGAAACUUGGAAGUUACAUUCUGCAGUUAAUUAAGAUCGACGUUGGAGAAGACAAAGAUGACCCCGUAGUUGAAAU